GACGAACGCUGGCGGCGUGCUUAACACAUGCAAGUCGAACGGAAAGGCCCUGCUUUUGUGGUGUGCUCGAGUGGCGAACGGGUGAGUAACACGUGAGUAACCUGCCCUUGACUUUGGGAUAACUUCAGGAAACUGGGGCUAAUACCGGAUAGGAGCUCCUGCUGCAUGGUGGGGGUUGGAAAGUUUCGGCGGUUGGGGAUGGACUCGCGGCUUAUCAGCUUGUUGGUGGGGUAGUGGCUUACCAAGGCUUUGACGGGUAGCCGGCCUGAGAGGGUGACCGGCCACAUUGGGACUGAGAUACGGCCCAGACUCCUACGGGAGGCAGCAGUGGGGAAUAUUGCACAAUGGGCGGAAGCCUGAUGCAGCAACGCCGCGUGAGGGAUGACGGCCUUAGGGUUGUAAACCGCUUUCGCCUGUGACGAAGCGUGAGUGACGGUAAUGGGUAAAGAAGCACCGGCUAACUACGUG
RNAcentral lists this ribosomal RNA (468 nucleotides) under uncultured bacterium. RNAcentral's name for it is "partial 16S ribosomal RNA". It matches the Rfam family "Bacterial small subunit ribosomal RNA", at positions 28 to 507 of the family's 1533-position model. The record is from RNAcentral.